This 895-nucleotide ribosomal RNA is filed under the name uncultured bacterium. RNAcentral's name for it is "bacterial SSU rRNA". It matches the Rfam family "Bacterial small subunit ribosomal RNA", at positions 574 to 1470 of the family's 1533-position model. The record is from RNAcentral.
GGCGGUUAGAUAAGUNUGAAGUUAAAGGCAGUGGCUCAACCAUUGUAGGCUUUGGAAACUGUUUAACUUGAGUGCAGAAGGGGAGAGUGGAAUUCCAUGUGUAGCGGUGAAAUGCGUAGAUAUAUGGAGGAACACCGGUGGCGAAAGCGGCUCUCUGGUCUGUAACUGACACUGAGGCUNGAAAGCGUGGGGAGCGAACAGGAUUAGAUACCCUGGUAGUCCACGCCGUAAACGAUGAGUGCUAGGUGUUAGGUCCUUUCCGGGACUUAGUGCCGCAGCUAACGCAUUAAGCACUCCGCCUGGGGAGUACGACCGCAAGGUUGAAACUCAAAGGAAUUGACGGGGGCCCGCACAAGCGGUGGAGCAUGUGGUUUAAUUCGAAGCAACGCGAAGAACCUUACCAGGUCUUGACAUCCCGAUGCCCGCUCUAGAGAUAGAGCUUUACUUCGGUACAUCGGUGACAGGUGGUGCAUGGUUGUCGUCAGCUCGUGUCGUGAGAUGUUGGGUUAAGUCCCGCAACGAGCGCAACCCUUAUUGUUAGUUGCCAUCAUUCAGUUGGGCACUCUAGCGAGACUGCCGGUAAUAAACCGGAGGAAGGUGGGGAUGACGUCAAAUCAUCAUGCCCCUUAUGACCUGGGCUACACACGUGCUACAAUGGCUGGUACAACGAGUCGCAAGCCGGUGACGGCAAGCUAAUCUCUGAAAGCCAGUCUCAGUUCGGAUUGUAGGCUGCAACUCGCCUACAUGAAGUCGGAAUCGCUAGUAAUCGCGGAUCAGCACGCCGCGGUGAAUACGUUCCCGGGCCUUGUACACACCGCCCGUCACACCACGAGAGUUUGUAACACCCGAAGUCGGUGAGGUAACCGUAAGGAGCCAGCCGCCUAAGGUGGGAUAG